This 447-nucleotide ribosomal RNA is filed under the name uncultured Planococcus sp. RNAcentral's name for it is "bacterial SSU rRNA". It matches the Rfam family "Bacterial small subunit ribosomal RNA", at positions 936 to 1382 of the family's 1533-position model. Lineage: Bacteria; Bacillati; Bacillota; Bacilli; Caryophanales; Caryophanaceae. The record is from RNAcentral.
AGCAUGUGGUUAAUUCGAAGCAACGCGAAGAACCUUACCAGGUCUUGACAUCCCGCUGACCGCCUGGGAGACUAGGCUUUCCCUUCGGGGACAGCGGUGACAGGUGGUGCAUGGUUGUCGUCAGCUCGUGUCGUGAGAUGUUGGGUUAAGUCCCGCAACGAGCGCAACCCUUGAUCUUAGUUGCCAGCAUUCAGUUGGGCACUCUAAGGUGACUGCCGGUGACAAACCGGAGGAAGGUGGGGAUGACGUCAAAUCAUCAUGCCCCUUAUGACCUGGGCUACACACGUGCUACAAUGGACGGUACAAAGGGCUGCAAACCCGCGAGGGGGAGCCAAUCCCAGAAAGCCGGUCUCAGUUCGGAUUGGGGUCUGCAACUCGACCCCAUGAAGUCGGAGUCGCUAGUAAUCGCAGAUCAGCAACGCUGCGGUGAAUACGUUCCCGGGCCUU